GUUAACCGCCAUAAAUUUCUUAGCGGCAACCAUUAAAAAACGUCGUAUUUGUUAAUUAUGGCCGUUGAAAAUACCUCAAUCUUUUUAAAUAACCGCCACAAUUCACACCUUUUUCUUUAGUGACACUUUUCUACUUCACAUAACCAAAUUCAUCACUAGCAAUAAGCAGGAGCAGAAAAAACACAACCACAAUAAUCAACAAGCAAAAAAAACAAAGAAUGAAUGAAAGGGGAUAUGCAGAACUGUGAAUCCACACGGUCGCCCUCUCCCUCUUUUGAAACCGAACCACCAACCACAUCUUCCUCCGCGAGUCCGACAAUUGCGAAACUCAACCGUUCACGCCACCACCAUCAAAACAACAAAAUAUCAUAGAAGAAAGGAAGAAGAAGAGGGGAACCAAACAGUCGCAUAAACCACACUCUCUGCGGGAAACACGGUCCAAACAUCCGGAAACCGUUGUGAAACAUUCCACCGACGAUAACUUUCUCUUCCUCGCGACACUAACCAUUUCCAGCCGCCAUUCUCUCUCUUUUCAUGAUAUGUUUUUUGCUUCUACAACUUUUCUGAAAAUAGAAAACGCGUUUGGUUUGAUAUAAGUUUGAAAAGUCAACACCCAUUAAUCACCCAUGACAUGUACAUAAGCAUAAAUCAAGAGCUAUGUAACUUUUAAAUGUAUUGGGUUGAACGAAAAGUUUCUCUACUCUGUUUGCUGCAAGUUACAAAACACAUGAUCUGUUUGUUGUUCGUGUAGUUUAUUUGUAACUCGUAAGUUGAAGUUCAUUUUAAAAUCUAUUAAAGUUAAAAUAGUGUGUGCGAUGUGAAGAUUUAGAAAAUAAUGUUUUUCUAUUAUGUUAUUGAUAAUCCGCCACUGUAGUAGAAAUUGUUUAUAAAACAUUUCAAAAUACAUUAAUAUGCAGUGUGAUUG
Molecule: long non-coding RNA, 925 nt
Filed under: Lathyrus oleraceus (garden pea)
Lineage: Eukaryota; Viridiplantae; Streptophyta; Magnoliopsida; Fabales; Fabaceae
Description: Pisum sativum (pea) long non-coding RNA (PSAT_LNC031041)
Source: RNAcentral